UGGGGAAUAUUGCACAAUGGGCGCAAGCCUGAUGCAGCCAUGCCGCGAGUAUGAAGAAGGCCUUCGGGUUGUAAAGUACUUUCAGCGGGGAGGAAGGGAGUAAAGUUAAUACCUUUGCUCAUUGACGUUACCCGCAGAAGAAGCACCGGCUAACUUCGUGCCAGCAGCCGCGGUAAUACGGAGGGUGCAAGCGUUAAUCGGAAUUACUGGGCGUAAAGCGCACGCAGGCGGUUUGUUAAGUCAGAUGUGAAAUCCCCGGGCUCAACCUGGGAACUGCAUCUGAUACUGGCAAGCUUGAGUCUCGUAGAGGGGUGUAGAAUUCCAGGUGUAGCGUUGAAAUGCGUAGAGAUCUGGAGGAAUACCGGUGGCGAAGGCGGCCCCCUGGACGAAGACUGACGCUCAGGUGCGAAAGCGUGGGGAGCAAACAGG
This 429-nucleotide ribosomal RNA is filed under the name Actinomycetes bacterium. RNAcentral describes it as "Actinobacteria bacterium partial 16S ribosomal RNA". It matches the Rfam family "Bacterial small subunit ribosomal RNA", at positions 355 to 776 of the family's 1533-position model. The record is from RNAcentral. Lineage: Bacteria; Bacillati; Actinomycetota; Actinomycetes.